Molecule: long non-coding RNA, 2977 nt
Organism: Ictalurus punctatus (channel catfish)
Lineage: Eukaryota; Metazoa; Chordata; Actinopteri; Siluriformes; Ictaluridae
Exons: 3
Source: RefSeq, a predicted model, not a curated record
GUUUUGGUUAUCGACCUAGAUUCCUGCGUAGCCCCGUGUUUGCCUGUUUGCCAAUCACCUGACCUCUUGCAUGUUUAUGUAUUACGUUUUGGAUCACGCUUUGGAUUUGUCUGCCUGUCUCUCUUUCAAAUAAACAACUGUUCAUCCUGCACUUGCAUCCGUCCUAUCUCUGCUCCAUCACGAUUCGUGACAAUAUCCAAAAUACUACACCGUGUGCAAGGGGCAGGGGAAACUCGUAUCAGCACAGAGACCAGGAGUGGUGGGUGAUCAUCCUGAUAGUGCUGGUGGUGGAGGUGCUGCUGCUGGUUGUUGGAGUCUUUGUGAUAAUCCUGUGCCUGAGGAAACGACUUGAGUCCUUCCUAAUGGAACCUAGGAACAGAGAGAUGAGCACAGAAACAACAGGGAAUAACAGUGACUGCGUUUACAUGGACAACAAUAAUCCACUCUUAAUCUAAUUAAGACCAUAAUUUGAUUAAGAAACUACCAUGUAAACAGCAACCUUAAUCUAAUUAUGGUCAUAAUCUAAUUAAGCUCUAAUCGAAUUAAGACGUGUGGAGUACUCCUGUUUUAAUCGUAUUAUGGACGUGCAUUACAGACAUGUAAACACCUUAAUCACAUUAUGAACGUCGUGUGAGCAUUUUCACCGCAUUUUACGACAGGACACGAUCACACAUGGCAGUUUUACGCUUUACGGCGAACAAGAGAGUCCGGCUGUGUCCCAAACUGCAUACUUGCCUACUAUAGGCCGGUAGUGGGGAAAAAUACAUGCAUCUCGGCUACUAUACAGUAGGUAAGUAUGCGAUUUGAGACGCAGCCCACGGCUUCAAGCAAUCGUCUAUUUGCACGUAUAGCAUGACUAAUAAUUAACCGCACUUGAAGCGUUCGUAAAAAAUUUAAAUAAAAACACCCAAAACUGUAUACGGUACCAUAACGAGUACGAACUGUAUGUUGAUACGUGAAAUUCUGGAGGGACGUCGGACGGCGUGGCGCGGUGACGUAAUGACGCGGGCUCUUAAUCUAAUUAUGACCAAUAACAUGUAAAACGGGUACAUGACUGGAGUAUUCUAAAAGUGACUCAUGUAAACACCUUAAUCACAUUAUUACCUUACUUAGAUUAAGGUCAAUAAUUAGAUUAUUGCUGUCCAUGUAAACGUAGUCAGUGAUAAGAAACCUCUGGAUGAAGAUGAAGGUCUACACCUGGAUGAAUCUGACACAGCGCUGGACUCACACAGAGAGACUCAGAAAUCUUCAGGCCUCAUUUAUAAAGAGUUUCCCUCACAGAAACUGGGAUUUAUAAAGAAAUACUUGGGUCGACACAUGGGGCAAAGCUUCUGUAAAUAUACGCCCAAUUUCACACCAUCAGUAACAAUUUAGAAACAGCAGGCAUUAGCGGCACCCUGUGGAUGUGUAGAGAAUUACAGCUAAAUGUACAAAUCACUGCUUUACACUUUACACUUCAUAUCCAAUAAUGCAGCUCCAUAAUAACUGCUUCCAGGCUUCUGGGACAUGAGAAGCUUUAAAGCAUAACAGCAUUCUCAGGACUUUAUUUAUAGAUGUGUGUAGAGUGGGUAAUUAGUCUGUUUCUGUCCAUCUCAUUUAAUUUCUCCAGUGAACUAUUUGCAGUCUGCAGUGUGUUUAAUCCCCUCUCUGAAUGAUAUAGUAACUGGUUAUAUAUUGGUAUGAAUUGUGGGUAAUUACAGGCUGAAAACAGAUGAGAAGUGAUUCCACACAUUCACAGAUUUAUUAAUAGGUUACAGAAUGACAGCUACAGUCAUUAUUCCCCAAAUAAUAGAAUAAUGUAAAUGUGUAAAUAGCUCGUUUGCGGUGUCUGGACUAAAGAAGGCUUCAGAAAGUCACAUCAGAAAAUCCUCCUUCUUAAUGUAACACAUUUUGAUCUGCAAACGAUCUUCCUGUAGUUGUGGAAAUGGUCAUUAAAUGGUAACAGCGCCACCUGCAGUACUGGAGCAGUCAUACAACACAACCAGUACGAAACUGCAGAGUGUGUGAGCUCAUAAAGGUGGUUUUAUCUUCACACAGCGCUCACACCCCUCAUCUCCAUGUUCCAUAUGCUGAGGCUUUAACACAGCUGGAGUAAACAUGUUCAUCUUACAGUGUUGAUAUUCCAGCUCUCUAUUCACUUUCUGGAAACAGCUGAGUUCAUGUUAUACAGUAUUGGUUUUUGUUUAUUUUAUAUAAACAAACAUUUUGAAUAUAUUUUUUUAAAAGGCACCCCGACUAUGAGCUCCUGUAGGCCUUAACACGCAAUAAUUUCCCUCUCCUAUUAAAAUAUGUUGUUAGAAACACAAAUAUGUUAAUUACUUUAAAAAUCCCCUCAGUAUCUGUGCUUUUAACUUUAUAUAACCCCAAAUGUCCUCUGCGCUCCUCUCGAGAUGUUUACUGGCUGUCCCACAGACACGGCUGUGAUCUGUAGGGGAAAGGGCUUUCUCAUGCUAAGCUCCUAGACUGGAAUGCACUCAUAUUAGAGAUGUAGAGUUGAAACAUUUUUCAUUUUUAGGUUAGCGUUUUCUUGAUGAUUUUAACCAUUUUGUAUUCAAGUCUGUUUUUUGAAUGUUUUGUGUUUUUAAUUUUCUUGGUAUUUUCUUAUUGCGUAAAGUGCCUUGAGAAGCUGCUUUAAAGGUGCUAUAUGAAAAAUAAAGUUGUUUAUUAUUAUUAUUAUUAUUAUUAUUAUUAUUAUUAUUAUUAUUAUUAUUUAAUAAAUAUUUUAACAUACGGCGUCCACCAUUACGUGACAUGCGCAGUGCUCUCUGAGUCGAUGUAAAAUGGCUGCACUUGAACACUCAGGAGAAUGAGCUAUUAGCUGUUGUGUGUAAUGUUCUAGCCAAUACAUACCCAAAGUAAACUUAAAGCUGUUCCUGAAUCAUUUGGAGCGCAUGCAUGGUUUUGGUCUCUUUUGAAAGCAGGACUAAAUAUUUUUAUGUAAUUGGAUUGUUUGAACCUUUGAAGUUAUGUGUAAUAA